This 228-nucleotide ribosomal RNA is filed under the name uncultured bacterium. RNAcentral describes it as "partial 16S ribosomal RNA". It matches the Rfam family "Bacterial small subunit ribosomal RNA", at positions 103 to 334 of the family's 1533-position model. The record is from RNAcentral.
CGGGUGAGUAAUGCAUAGGAAUCUGCCCAGUAGUGGGGGAUAACGUGGAGAAAUCCACGCUAAUACCGCAUAUGUCCUACGGGACAAAGCAGGGGACCUUCGGGCCUUGCGCUAUUGGAUGAGCCUAUGUCGGAUUAGCUAGUUGGUGGGGUAAAAGCCUACCAAGGCAACGAUCCGUAGCUGGUCUGAGAGGAUGAUCAGCCACACUGGGACUGAGACACGGCCCAG